GCGCCGGUAGCUCAGCGGAUUAGAGCAUCUGACUACGGAUCAGAAGGCCGGGGGUUCGAAUCCUCUCCGGCGCU
RNAcentral lists this transfer RNA (74 nucleotides) under Dehalococcoidia bacterium. Its description in RNAcentral is "tRNA-Arg". It matches the Rfam family "tRNA". Rfam says of the family: Transfer RNA (tRNA) molecules are approximately 80 nucleotides in length. Their secondary structure includes four short double-helical elements and three loops (D, anti-codon, and T loops). Further hydrogen bonds mediate the characteristic L-shaped molecular structure. tRNAs have two regions of fundamental functional importance: the anti-codon, which is responsible for specific mRNA codon recognition, and the 3' end, to which the tRNAs corresponding amino acid is attached (by aminoacyl-tRNA synthetases). tRNAs cope with the degeneracy of the genetic code in two manners: having more than one tRNA (with a specific anti-codon) for a particular amino acid; and 'wobble' base-pairing, i.e. permitting non-standard base-pairing at the 3rd anti-codon position. Lineage: Bacteria; Bacillati; Chloroflexota; Dehalococcoidia. The record is from RNAcentral. RNAcentral also lists the same sequence under 1 other name.